Molecule: ribosomal RNA, 179 nt
Filed under: Symbiodinium sp. clade B
Lineage: Eukaryota; Dinophyceae; Suessiales; Symbiodiniaceae
Description: partial 23S ribosomal RNA
Source: RNAcentral
CUGACACUAAAGGACAAAAAGACCCUUUGAAGCUUUAUAGGGAUAAAACUCAUUUACUCUAUUCAUUUUCAGCCUUCGGCAUUUAUUAUCUUGUUGCUUCUCCGCUUUUAAAAUGAUGUUGUUGUUAACAACAACAUAUUUAAUUGCUAAAGCCUUACAAGAUUUACAACAUCAAGACC